UUUCCGAAGUGUAGUUAAUAAACAACGGAAUUUAAUCGUUUUGUUCGCCUUUACUACUAAGCUGUGAGGGCAUUUCAAAGACAUUCAAAGUCUUUCAUCUUUAGGAUGAAGGUUAGGGCUCUUAAGGUCUCUUCACGGACAAUUAUUAAACACCAGAUGGAGCCAUACAGCUUUAGUCGUUCCAGUUUCAAAUUUCUUGCAACACCGCUGCAGUGGGUUUCAAUCAGAGGGAGCUGCCAUUAAGGUUGUUAAAGAUCUACCGAAGCAAAGCCGACUUCAAAGAGGCAAGCUCUAUCGUUCCCUCGACCGUUGGGUCUACGUAACCGAAACGGACCCGUAGUUUUUAUCUGGCUAAGGACGGUCAACUCGGCAAAAUUCUGUCGCUACAACAAACACUACGAUAUCAAGGCGGCGAUAUUAGACCUCAUCUUACUGAAAAUACGCUCAAGAUUAGCUAAUGAAUACCUAACCUCAAUACCAAGGGCAUCCAGCUGCUUCAGGAUAAGAUCUAUGUUGGUUGCUUGAGCACAGCAAAAUCGUAGAAAACAUUGAAACUGAUGAUGAAGGAAAAACCUAAAAACUAAUGAAAGGAAACGAGUCGGAACUCCGUUGCUUCUUUUCACUUUACAGCUGCGCAGUCGUGAAGUCCCUAUGAAUCGAGGUAAAUCACUAAAUGCCUAGUGAACUCCCCGCUAUUAGCAUAGUUUGGUUUUUUACUAGAUAUAGGGAAGUCCAUGCGUUAAGUUUAAAAAUCUUACCAGAUAUCGGUCGAUAAAGUUGUUUGGAAGAAGACGAGGUGGAAUUUAUACACUUUCUUCGUCACUCCUUCGCCUUUAAAUACCUUGAAAUUCACAUCAUCCAAGAGUCCUAGUUGGAAGUGAAAUAUAUAUGAAACAGAUUUUUAAUGGGUUCAAGGCGCUUUGUCGAUAUAACCGUACAAUUGAAAAGAUGGCGCUAGUGAAAAAAUGGAUAAAAAGGACUUUCAUGUGUUGAUAAAAUAUUGCCUUUCGAAGGGAAAAAUAGAUUUAAAGCAAAAACUUGAUGAGGAGUUUCCGGACACUGACCCAGGAAAAUCAAACAUCAAGGAUUGGUAAGCUGAGUUUCGACGUGGUGAAAUGAGCACCGAAGACGGUGAGAAAGCUCUGUGCAAAGUGGACCCCGUCCGAGCGCAGCCGUGUUUGGAGAUGUUAAGGCGUAAUAAAUUCCAGUUUUGGCAUCGGUAUGUGGCUAUGGAUGAAACAUGGCUCCAUCAUUUCACUCCGAAGUACAAUCGACAGUCAUCCAAGUGAAUUGUACAAUAGUCGGGUGUCAAGGUUUGUACCUUGCGAUGCGCAUGGAACAAUUUUUAUUGACUGCCUUGAAAAGGGAAAGGCCAUCAAAAGCGACUAUUACAUAGCGUUAUUGGACCGUCUGGAGUACGAAAUCGCCGAAAAACAGUCAUAUUUGAAGAAAAAGAAAGUGCUGUUUCACCAAGAUAAUGCAUCGUGUCACAAAUCUGGCCUCCAGCUACUAUUUCCUGUUCUCAGAUCUCAAAGAGAAGCUCGUUGGAAAGAAAUUUUCGUCAAAUGAAGAGGUGAUCGCCGAAACUGAGGCUUAUUUGAAGCAAAAGACAAAUCGUAAGGACAAAAGUACAAAAAUGGUAUCGAAAAGUUCUAGGGUCGCUAUAAUCAGUGUAUCACCCUUGAAGUGAACUGAGUUGAAUAAAAAAAACGAAUUUUGCAAAAAAA
Molecule: long non-coding RNA, 1727 nt
Organism: Bactrocera neohumeralis
Lineage: Eukaryota; Metazoa; Arthropoda; Insecta; Diptera; Tephritidae
Exons: 3
Source: RefSeq, a predicted model, not a curated record